UUUAGGGACUUUACUGACGGGACUCUGGGCUGGCUGCUCUGUUCACUCGUCAGCGCAAGUGGCGUGACCAUGUAAUUGGGGCACGGGGCCGGCGCGGCGCGCUGCGGGCUUGCAGAAUUUUGUUUGUUUGUUUGGCCGCGCGCUGGCGCAGCCACGGGCCGCAGUUACUGGGGCGCGCUGUCGUAACAAGCCGCGCGGUGUGGCCUGCACAUCGGGGUAGAGGGGGGGUAGUCUUCCCAGAUGUUCUAGUUAGUUGUUUAGUAAAUUUGACUUCAAUAACGAGCUUUUGUUAUGGUAGGCGCGGCAGGGCGCGCGAAUUUAAGCGCAAGUGAGUGGUGACUCGGGGCUCACUCAGGCGGAGGCUAUGCGUCUCACCUGUGGUCACGAGUUGUUAGUUCGUUCGUGAUGUAGGAAUUCAAGCUUUCGGGCGGAAGCUAUGGUCGACGCCAGAGGCCACGAGUCGUUUAAUUUAAGUUAGGUCAUAAUGUAGUCGUCAAGCUUUCGGGCGGAGGCUAUGGCCCUCGUCAGGGGUCACGCGUCAUAGUUUUUAAAAUGUAAUGUUCGUUCGGGAUUUCAAGGGCAGGAGAGGCCCCUACGUUAUUUUUUUAAAGUAAUCGAUCAAGAAAGGCUUUUCGGAAAAUGUGAGUAUGGACUUAUCUUUGUUUUAAUUUUAAGUAUUAAUUAUGAUUUGAGGUAUUCGGAAGGACUAGGGAAGUGUUUAGUGAAGUUCUCUCAUUCUCUCUCUUGUAAGGUCGUUCAAUCGUUAAGGAAGUAAAGAGAUUAUUGUUUUAAAUUGUAAUCCCGCUAUUUAAAUGUUCUUUAAAAUGAUGUUGAGUAUUUGACUUUAAGAAUAAAAUAAUUUUAAUUAAGUAUUAUGUUAUUUUGCAAAAUCUCCUUAGUUCAGCUCUCACCAGACAUCCUGUACGGGAUGACGAACCUAUGAUCCUAGGUACAGUAAAGUAUUUUAUGAAGUUAAGACUAGUUGAUGCCAAGCGAGUUGUUUCUAUGUAAAGAGCUACGAUUCUCUCCCCCCUCUGAAGGUGCACGUGACAGAAAUGGUAGAGUUCGCCGGAUAGGUUCUAUUUCUGGAGAGAGAGAGAGGUAGAUUUUUAUGUUUAUUAUUAAGUUAGUUUCAGCUUCUGAUAGCAGGUUAUUAAGAGUUUACUUGAGGAGAGGAUUACGGAAUUUAAUCUAAGAGGAGGAAGUCUUUGAGAUUUUUUUUUUUUGACGUAACAGAUGUUUAUUUGAGGAUACUUGUAAGGAUAAAGUUUAUAGUGAUAAGUUGUUUUAAGUCGUUGAAUUUAUUGUAGAUUUAUAUCGGGGAUUAUUACGUGAGGAGAAUACGUUAUAAGUUAAAUGCUUAUUAGAGAUAAUGCAAGUGGUUUAAUUUAAUUGAAAUUAAUUUUAAGAUUGUAGGUUAAGAGAGUUAAAAUUUAAAAUAAAGUUUUUUUCGUAAAUAGGAAUUAUUUUCAAGUGAAGUUUGUUUUGUUUUCGUGCGCGUAGGAGACGAGACGUACGAAUUAAAUCAGUCGAGGGAAGGAUAAACGUUAGAAAGGAAUUAAAGAGAAAACGAGAGUUUAUGUAAAAGAGAGUUAUAGAAUUUAUAGUGAUGUUUUGUUUUAAUUAGAAAAAUGUUGAGAGUUGUUUCAGAACGACACGUCAGUGGACGUGGCAGAGUGAACACGUGACGGGGAGGUGCUGAAACCUAGCGGAGAACGGAGGAACCGCAAGCGAGGGUUGGCGCACCUGAUGGAAUUCGGUGACGUCACGGGCUCAUACGGAGACGUGGACAGGCCGUGACCUUGUUUUGAUCAGCUGUACGGUAACUUAGCGAUAAGAAAAUAGACUAUUGGUUUAAUAAAUUUAAAUUUAAGUGUGUUUUAGGAGAAGAGGAACUUUCAGUAUAUUCCUUAAGAUGAGCUGAGCAGCAGUCCAGUUUACAAGAUGACAAGAGUUCGAGAGACAAGAUACAAGAUCACUGAAACAAGAGCCAAGACUGAAGAUUCAAGAGAAGAGAAAGCUGGCAGCCAUGGACUUACAAGUGGAGAUUAAUAAGGUCAUGUAAAGUUUUAUUUUUUUAUGGAAGACAGUAACUGGAGUUUUUUUGUUAUAAACAUUAUUUACAGAACUUUUUAGGUUAUAGUAAUGUAAUGGAACUAGUGAGUUGUGGUAGCUGUCAAAAAGAACUAAUACCUUAAGUUUAAUUUUUAAAGUUAAUUUUCUUAAUUUACAGAGGGAUUAGUAGUUUUUUUUAAAACCUUAUUUAGGUUGGAAUUUAAAUACAAUAGCUUAUUAUAAAUGUGUACGAACAGUUCAAGUUCACAGUACUGAUAGGUAGGUCAGAUGAUCUUAUUGAUUUUGAUGAUUUGUUGUUUUGAGUUGAUUUUUAAGUGUUGUGAAUUAGACAAUGAAAUAGUUCUGAAAACUUAAAUUAUUUCAAGCUAAGAAAUAGUAAAGUUAAUUGUAACUCAAAGGACACCAGAAUUUAAUUUUUUUUUGAAUUAGUAAUGUUUGAAAAUUUUAUACUUUACAAGAAAGGUUAUAAACAAACAGAUCGGAUGGAACAAGGAUGCAGUAAAUCACAAUUUCAUUUAGAAUUAUUGAUUUGCUUUUGAGGUUAUGAAGGAAAAGUAGCUAUAAUUUAAAAAUUUGAAUAAAAAUGGUUUUUUUUAAUUUGUUUGAAAUAGAAAAUUUAAAAGUUAAUUAGUCAUGAUCUAGGUGGGUGAUGGGGUGGGAAUUGGCCACUCUUUUUCCCUAUAACCUCCCUAACAUGGCCUUCUAUUACAUCUAACAGAAAAAAAAAAGAAGAAAAAGAAGACUUAUUAUUAGUUAGAAUGUUUCUUUCAUGAAGAUACCUGAUGAACUUUUACUGUCUGGAAGAAUAGAAGCAAGGUUAGUCAGAUAUUUUUACUCAGAAGAAGAAGAAGAUAAAGCAGUUUUAUGACUCGACAAGCCAGAGAUUGGUGUUUCCCCUCUGCGCUUCUAUUGACUACGUUGUUUACUCUCAUGGGAUAGCUGGUUCGGCACCAUGGAGAGAGAUUGGUGGGCAUUGUGGUUGCCCCCAGAAGAAAAGAAGAGUAGAAGAGGUUAUGGGUGGGUCAUGUGAACUGACCUUCAACCCAGUUACUUCGUGGGGACUAUUUGCUGUAUAGAGAAGAUCAAGACUCAAGAGGUAGGGAAAAUCAUUGGAGGUCAUGUUUCCCUUCCUUAAGUUUUUCCUAUCAAAUUAUUUGCCUGAUUAGAUUAUGCUAAGGGUGGGAUACUUUAUGUUAGCAGUUGAAUUAAUUAAUUUUAUUUUUUUGUGUGUUUGCAUCCUUGCCCAUCGAUUGCAGUUUAGUAGUUAGUUUUGUAUUUGUCAGGCGUGAUGGUAAUGCCUGUUGAUGAUGUUUCAGAAUUGUAAUCUGUUCGUGAUGGGGAUGGCACAACUCCGAAGCAGAUGUGGGGAGAAGUUGUGAGCUGCCCUGGAAGCCAGUCCAGUAGCUGUUGGAGUUGAGUGGUGUUUGCUGAUGGCCAGCCCAGGGAGCUACUCUUCUCGACAACACUGACUUCGAGGAGUUGCACCAACCUUCACGAGAUAAGAGUUUAAUUAAUUGAAACACUGUAAGGACACUUAAUUUUUUUUGAAGAACGAAAGAAGUAUGGUAAUAAACGGAAACCGAAAAAAAAAAAAAAAAAAAUAA
This is a long non-coding RNA of Bacillus rossius redtenbacheri, 3680 nucleotides long. RefSeq lists it as uncharacterized. The record is from RefSeq and is a predicted model, not a curated record. NCBI's taxonomy places the organism in Eukaryota, Metazoa, Arthropoda, Insecta, Phasmatodea, Bacillidae. The transcript is spliced from 2 exons.